UCUAUGCAGAAUUCCACAGGCAUAGUAGACCAUGCCUGUAAUCCCAGCACUGGGGAGGCUGAGGCAGGAGGAU
RNAcentral lists this microRNA precursor (73 nucleotides) under Cavia porcellus (domestic guinea pig). RNAcentral's name for it is "miRNA (ENSCPOG00000024662.2)". Lineage: Eukaryota; Metazoa; Chordata; Mammalia; Rodentia; Caviidae. The record is from RNAcentral.